UGGCUAAGGCAUGCAAGUCGAACGGACGUACCUGGAAGGAAACGGAAGGGUAGUUAGUGGCGAACGGGUGAGGAAUACUGGACAACGUACCCCGGACACGGGCUAGCGGCGUCCCCGAGCAUCGGGAGACUUUGCGAAAGUGCCGGUAAUUCCCGAUGACCCCGUAGGAUCGCAUGAUCCGGCGGGCAAAGCUCAGACGGUCUGGGAGCGGUUCAUGGCCUAUCAGCUUGUUGGUGAGGUACGGCUACCAGGCACGACGGGUUUGGCGUGAGAGCGUGCCCGACACAUCGGACUGAGACACGGCCCGGACACCUACGGGUGGCUGCAGCAACGAAUAUUCCGCAAUGGACGAAAGUCUGACGGAGCGACGCCGCGUGCAGGAAGAAGUCCCUCGGGAUGUAAACUGCUGUCAGGGGUUAGGAAUAAUGACCAGCCCCACAGGAAGCACUGGCUAACUCCGUGCCAGCAGCCGCGGUAAUACGGAGAGUGCAAGCGUUGUUCGGAAUCACUGGGCUUAAAGAGCGUGUAGGCGGAAUGCAAGGUGCCGGGUGAAAGCCCCGGGCUCAACCCGGGAACGGCACGGCAAACCGGCGCUCUUGAGGCAGGCAGAGGUGACUGGAACGACUGGUGGAGCGGUGAAAUGCGUAGAUAUCAGUUGGAACGCCGGAGGCGAAAGCGAGUCACUGGACCGUCCUGACGCUGAGACCGAAAGCGUGGGAGCACAGAUAGAUACCUGUGUCCGCGUAACAUCGCCUAGGUAUGAGAGGUUCUGACGCCGAUCGUGCCGAAGCAAAAGUGUUAAGUGCGCCGCCUGGGGAGUACGGCCGCAAGGCUAAAACUCAAAGGAAUUGACGGGGGCUCACACAAGCGGUGGAGCAUGUGGAUUAAUUCGAAGCAACGCGAAGAACCUUACCUGGGUUUGACAUGCACGGAUGCUCUCUUGGAAACAGGAGUAGGCUGCCUUCGGGUGAAACGUGCACAGGUGCUGCAUGGCUGUCGUCAGCUCGUGCUGUG
RNAcentral lists this ribosomal RNA (1014 nucleotides) under uncultured bacterium. RNAcentral describes it as "bacterial SSU rRNA". It matches the Rfam family "Bacterial small subunit ribosomal RNA", at positions 45 to 1069 of the family's 1533-position model. The record is from RNAcentral.